This 65-nucleotide small nuclear RNA is filed under the name Cervus elaphus hippelaphus. It matches the Rfam family "Small nucleolar RNA U3", at positions 1 to 65 of the family's 219-position model. From Rfam's summary of the family: Small nucleolar RNAs (snoRNAs) are involved in the processing and modification of rRNA in the nucleolus. There are two main classes of snoRNAs: the box C/D class, and the box H/ACA class. U3 snoRNA is a member of the box C/D class. Lineage: Eukaryota; Metazoa; Chordata; Mammalia; Artiodactyla; Cervidae. The record is from RNAcentral.
AGGACUAUACUUUCAGGGAUCAUUUCUAUAGUUCGUUACUAGAGAAGUUUCUCUGAUUGUGUAGA